RNAcentral lists this ribosomal RNA (495 nucleotides) under uncultured bacterium. Its description in RNAcentral is "partial 16S ribosomal RNA". It matches the Rfam family "Bacterial small subunit ribosomal RNA", at positions 28 to 507 of the family's 1533-position model. The record is from RNAcentral.
GAUGAACGCUGGCGGCGUGCUUAACACAUGCAAGUCGAACGAAGCACCUCUCCCGAAGAUUGACACAGCUUGCUGUAGAUUGAUUCAUUUGAGGUGACUGAGUGGCGGACGGGCGAGUAACGCGUGGGUAACCUGCCUCAUAGAGGGGGACAACAGUUGGAAACGACUGCUAAUACCGCAUAGUAAGAAGAAUUCGCAUGUUUUCUUCUUGAAAGAUUUAUCGCUAUGAGAUGGACCCGCGUCUGAUUAGCUAGUUGGUAAGGUAACGGCUUACCAAGGCGACGAUCAGUAGCCGGCUUGAGAGAGUGAACGGCCACAUUGGGACUGAGACACGGCCCAAACUCCUACGGGAGGCAGCAGUGGGGAAUAUUGCACAAUGGGGGAAACCCUGAUGCAGCGACGCCGCGUGAGUGAAGAAGUAUUUCGGUAUGUAAAGCUCUAUCAGCAGGGAAGAUAAUGACGGUACCUGACUAAGAAGCCCCGGCUAACUACGUG